UUGCUUUGGGAAUGUACAAGUCCAUGAAAGCAACCUACCUCCAUCCUUUUACUUUGUCAGCUGUUUUUGUUUUUGUGACUUGCUGAUUAUUGUUGGAUGGAAUAGGU
This is a small nucleolar RNA of Pyrus x bretschneideri (Chinese white pear), 107 nucleotides long. RefSeq annotates it as small nucleolar RNA snoR99. The record is from RefSeq and is a predicted model, not a curated record. The transcript has a single exon. Lineage: Eukaryota; Viridiplantae; Streptophyta; Magnoliopsida; Rosales; Rosaceae.